UUAUAAAAAUCAAUAGACUUUAUUUUUUAGGGAAGUUUUAGAUCUACAGAAAAGUUAAGCAGAAAGUACAGAGAGUUUCCAUAUGUCCCUUACCCCAUCCCCC
Molecule: non-coding RNA, 103 nt
Organism: Ceratotherium simum simum (southern white rhinoceros)
Lineage: Eukaryota; Metazoa; Chordata; Mammalia; Perissodactyla; Rhinocerotidae
Source: RefSeq, a predicted model, not a curated record